This is an RNA transcript of Pipistrellus kuhlii (Kuhl's pipistrelle), 1012 nucleotides long. It is a transcript of the gene named heterogeneous nuclear ribonucleoprotein A1-like, with no coding region annotated. The transcript has a single exon. The record is from RefSeq and is a predicted model, not a curated record. Lineage: Eukaryota; Metazoa; Chordata; Mammalia; Chiroptera; Vespertilionidae.
CAAUUGGCCUUUCUGCUGCUGAACGCCGCGGAGUGAGCAUCGUUUGAAUCCCCCCUGUUGCAGGCAUCAUGUCUAAGUCUGAGUCUCCCAAAGAGCCGGAGCAGCUGAGGAAGCUCUUUAUCGGAGGUUUGAGCUUUGAAACAACCGAUGAGAGUCUGAGGAGCCAUUUUGAGCAAUGGGGAACGCUCACAGACUGUGUGGUGAUGAGAGAUCUGAACACCAAGCACUCCAGAGGCUUUGAGUUCGUCACCUACGCCACUGUGGAGGAGGUGGAUGCAUCCAUGAACACAAGGCCACACGAGGUGGACGGGAGAGUUGUGGAACCAAAGAGGCUGUGUCAAGAGAAGAUUCUCAAAGACCUGGUGCCCACUUAACUGUGAAAAAGAUUUUUGUCGGUGGUAUUAAAGAAGACACUGAAGAACAUCACUUAAGAGAUUAUUUUGAACAGUAUGGGAAAAUAGAAGUGAUUGAAAUCAUGACUGACCAAGGCAGUGGCAAAAAGAGGGGCUUUGCUUUUGUAACCUUUGAUGACCAUGACUCUGUGGACAAGAUUGUCAUUCAGAAAUACCAUACUGUGAAUGGCCACAACUGUGAAGUAAGGAAAGCCCUAUCUAAGCAAGAGAUGGCUAGUGCUUCGUCCAGCCAAAGAGGUCGAAGUGGUUCUGGAAACUUCGGAGGUGAUCGUGGAGGAAACUUCAGUGGUCGAGGUGGCUUUGGUGGCAGCCGUGGUGGCGGUGGAUAUGGUGGCAGUGGGGAUGGCUAUAAUGGAUUUGGUAAUGAUGGAAGCAAUUUUGGAGGUGGUGGAAGCUACAAUGAUUUUGGCAAUUACAACAAUCAAUCUUCAAAUUUUGGGCCCAUGAAAGGAGGAAACUUUGGAGGCAGAAGCUCUGGCCCUUAUGGUGGUGGAGGGCAAUACUUUGCCAAACCACGAAACCAAGGUGGCUAUGGCGGUUCCAGCAGCAGCAGUAGCUAUGGCAGUGGCAGAAGGUUUUAAUUACUGCCAGGAAACAAA